Molecule: non-coding RNA, 1780 nt
Organism: Macaca mulatta (Rhesus monkey)
Lineage: Eukaryota; Metazoa; Chordata; Mammalia; Primates; Cercopithecidae
Source: RefSeq, a predicted model, not a curated record
CAAAAGCACAAAGAACAGUAAAUAUGUCACAGAUGUGGCACAUUUGCACAACCCCAUUUUUGACACCGAGGACACCCCCGUCUCUCUGAUCUGCCUAGUCAGGUCCAGCAUCCCUGAGCCAAAUCUCUGCAAGUGUUCCAGUCAGGACAGAUUAAGUUUCACCGUAAACCAAGAAGCUCAUCUUUAUUUCUAAGCAAUUUAUUUAAGAGCCUCCUAAAAUCUACUAACUUCCAGGCUGAAAAUCAUUUAAAAUCAAAUGAGUUUCCUCGCAGAUAAAACUCGAGAUCAUCCUUCAGCUUUGGGGAUAAUAGAACUCAGCGGUCCUUUCCUCCCCACGCUGAGCGGGAGAUGGGUGAUAGAGGAGCGGCAUAGAACCUCCAAGGAGGCCCAUGAGCCCCACGGCUGUUUCCCGACGCCAGCGGAGGAAGGAGGUUAGAGGCUCCCUCUGCUGUUAUCCCUCGGGUGGAGGAAGCCCUGAGCAUCCCUCCAGCCCCUGAGGUCCGAGUCCUGGGGGCCCACGCCCCCACCAGCCUGGCCUGGCCUCAAUCCCACUUAUGCCCAGCCCAGACCACCCCCUGCCCAGUGAGCUCCCCCAAGGCUCUUCCUCGUGGCAAAUGAGAUUCUCAGAGCCCUCUGGAGAGUGCUAAGUGCAUGGGGAGGUCACAGCUGACCCGUCACCCCCGCCCCAACUGCUCAGUGCCCCAGACUUCUCACUGUGCAUGGCCUCAGGCCGUGCAGAGUCUAUCCCACUCCCUCCAGCCUCCUUUUGCCCUUCCUCACCACAUCAGUUCACCUUUGUAGCAAUAAUGCUUAGAAACAAAUCACCCGGAAACUCUGGUUUCAACCCGAGUAUUUAUUUAGCUCACAAGCUGCAGGUCAGGGGUCAGGCUGAGCUCAGGUGACUCUUCUGUCCUCGCUGGGGUCACUCGGGGCUCACUCACUAGUCUGGGGCUGCUUGUCUCUCUGCUGCCACCAGGCAGCUCUGUCCCAUCCCUCGAUGUGUCUCAUUCUCAGCUGGGGAGCCUAGACACUGCUCAGUGAUGGUGAAGGAGAGAGGAAGAGCCAGCAGGUGCCUUCCCAGCCUCUGCCCUCGUCCCAUCCCACGGCCAGACACAGAACAAAGGAACGGAAAGAGACUCCACCCUCGGGAGGUCGUCACAGUUUGGGACAAUCAAUGAUUCCCCAGUGCGUCAGCCCAGGAUGGACGCCGCAGACCGAGACCUUGACCGUUGCAUUCCGCCAGGUUGGACCUCCUGGCCCAGGGCAGGGCAUGGCAGGUACUCAGUGGACCCUGGUCAGCAGAACAAACAGCAGAGUUGCCACGGGGAUGGCCUGGGGGACAGAGCAACCGACUGAAUGUGGGCGCUUUGCUAUACGUGAUUUACUCCUCACCUGAGGUGGCCGAGCCACUGCCCUGGCGCUGCAUCCUCUCUCCCUGGGGGAGGGCCCUGUCCCGAGGGUGAGGCCAACGCCUGCCCUCCCCACCCACCCAGCCUGGCCCACAGGGUGCACUCGCCUCACCCCGUCAUGAAGGACUCGGGUCCAGGCCCCUGCUCCUCUCUCCAGCCCUGCUUGUGAAUUCCGCACAGCAAAGAGAGGGCCCUUCCCGACAGCGUGGGCUCGGCCUCCAGGAAACAUGCUCGGGAGAAACUGGGUGACGUGGAUGAAUCACUGGUGCUCGGAGGCAAAUCGACUGCGACUACUCCCUACAGCAGCCCCAGAGCAAUGCCUUCUGGAUCCUCACUGUCGUUGUGAUACUAAAAUACAUUAUUUUUAAAGA